This 427-nucleotide ribosomal RNA is filed under the name uncultured bacterium. RNAcentral describes it as "bacterial SSU rRNA". It matches the Rfam family "Bacterial small subunit ribosomal RNA", at positions 355 to 771 of the family's 1533-position model. The record is from RNAcentral.
UGGGGAAUUUUUCGCAAUGGGCGCAAGCCUGACGAAGCAACGCCGCGUGGAGGAUGAAGGCCCUCGUGGUUGUAAACUCCUGUCAAGUGGGACGAAGGCUCAUAGUUUGAAUAAGGCUAUGAGAUUGACGGUACCUGCAGGGGAAGCCCCGGCUAACUCUGUGCCAGCAGCCGCGGUAAGACAGAGGGGGCAAGCGUUGCUCGGAAUUACUGGGCGUAAAGGGCGCGUAGGCGGGAUGGCAAGUCGGUCGUGAAAUCCCUCGGCUCAACUGAGGAACGUCGAUCGAUACUGCCGUUCUUGAGGAUUGCAGAGGAGACUGGAAUUCCCGGUGUAGCGGUGAAAUGUGUAGAGAUCGGGAGGAACACCGGUGGCGAAGGCGGGUCUCUGGGCAAUUCCUGACGCUGAGGCGCGAAAGCGUGGGGAGCAA